UGCCAGCCGCCGCGGUAAUACGUAGGGUGCAAGCGUUAUCCGGAAUCACUGGGCGUAAAGGGUACGUAGGCGGCUUUGCAAGUCAGAAGUGAAAGGCAUUGGCUCAACCAAUGUAAGCUUUUGAAACUGCAAGGCUAGAGUUCAGGAGAGGUAAGUGGAAUUCCUAGUGUAGAGGUGAAAUUCGUAGAUAUUAGGAGGAACACCAGUGGCGAAGGCGACUUACUGGACUGAUACUGACGCUGAGGUACGAAAGCGUGGGGAGCAAACAGGAUUAGAUA
This 278-nucleotide ribosomal RNA is filed under the name uncultured bacterium. RNAcentral's name for it is "partial 16S ribosomal RNA". It matches the Rfam family "Bacterial small subunit ribosomal RNA", at positions 506 to 784 of the family's 1533-position model. The record is from RNAcentral.